This 402-nucleotide ribosomal RNA is filed under the name uncultured prokaryote. RNAcentral describes it as "bacterial SSU rRNA". It matches the Rfam family "Bacterial small subunit ribosomal RNA", at positions 355 to 774 of the family's 1533-position model. The record is from RNAcentral.
UGGGGAAUAUUGGACAAUGGGCGCAAGCCUGAUCCAGCCAUGCCGCGUGAGUGAUGAAGGCCCUAGGGUUGUAAAGCUCUUUCACCGGUGAAGAUAAUGACGGUAACCGGAGAAGAAGCCCCGGCUAACUUCGUGCCAGCAGCCGCGGUAAUACGAAGGGGGCUAGCGUUGUUCGGAAUUACUGGGCGUAAAGCGCACGUAGGCGGGUAUUUAAGUCAGGGGUGAAAUCCCGGAGCUCAACUCCGGAACUGCCUUUGAUACUGGGUACCUAGAGUAUGGAAGAGGUAAGUGGAAUUCCGAGUGUAGAGGUGAAAUUCGUAGAUAUUCGGAGGAACACCAGUGGCGAAGGCGGCUUACUAGUCCAUUACUGACGCUGAGGUGCGAAAGCGUAGGGAGCUAACA